AUUGAACGCUGGCGGAAUGCUUUACACAUGCAAGUCGAACGGUAGAGGGGGCAACCCCUUGAGAGUGGCGAACGGGUGAGUAAUAUAUCGGAACGUGCCCAGUCGUGGGGGAUAACGUAGCGAAAGUUACGCUAAUACCGCAUACGAUCUAAGGAUGAAAGCGGGGGACUCGCAAGAGCCUCGCGCGAUUGGAGCGGCCGAUAUCAGAUUAGGUAGUUGGUGGGGUAAAGGCUCACCAAGCCAACGAUCUGUAGCUGGUCUGAGAGGACGACCAGCCACACUGGAACUGAGACACGGUCCAGACUCCUACGGGAGGCAGCAGUGGGGAAUUUUGGACAAUGGACGCAAGUCUGAUCCAGCCAUUCCGCGUGCAGGAUGAAGGCCCUCGGGUUGUAAACUGCUUUUACACCGGAGAAAACCUCCCCUCGUGAGGGAGCUGAUAGUAUGGUGAGAAUAAGCAUCGGCUAACUUCGUG
RNAcentral lists this ribosomal RNA (475 nucleotides) under uncultured bacterium. RNAcentral's name for it is "bacterial SSU rRNA". It matches the Rfam family "Bacterial small subunit ribosomal RNA", at positions 30 to 507 of the family's 1533-position model. The record is from RNAcentral.